CCUAGGGUGGCUGCAGUGGGGAAUAUUGCGCAAUGGGGGAAACCCUGACGCAGCAACGCCGCGUGAAGGAAGAAGGCCUUCGGGUUGUAAACUUCUUUGAUCGGGGACGAAAAUGACGGUACCCGAGGAACAAGCCACGGCUAACUACGUGCCAGCAGCCGCGGUAAUACGUAGGUGGCAAGCGUUGUCCGGAAUUGCUGGGCGUAAAGGGCGUGUAGGCGGGAUGGCAAGUCAGAUGUGAAAGCCCGGGGCUUAACUCCGGAACUGCAUCUGAAACUGCUGUUCUUGAGUGCUGGAGAGGAAAGUGGAAUUCCCAGUGUAGCGGUGAAAUGCGUAGAGAUUGGGAGGAACACCAGUGGCGAAGGCGGCUUUCUGGACAGUAACUGACGCUGAGGCGCGAAAGCGUGGGGAGCAAACAGGAUUAGAUACCCCGGUAGUC
This 439-nucleotide ribosomal RNA is filed under the name uncultured Clostridium sp. RNAcentral's name for it is "bacterial SSU rRNA". It matches the Rfam family "Bacterial small subunit ribosomal RNA", at positions 338 to 795 of the family's 1533-position model. The record is from RNAcentral. Lineage: Bacteria; Bacillati; Bacillota; Clostridia; Eubacteriales; Clostridiaceae.